UACAGAGGUCCCAAGCGUUGUUCGGAUUCAUUGGGCGUAAAGGGUGCGUAGGCGGCGCGGUAAGUCGGGUGUGAAAUCUCGGGGCUUAACUCCGAAACUGCAUUCGAUACUGCCGUGCUUGAGGACUGGAGAGGAGACUGGAAUUUACGGUGUAGCGGUGAAAUGCGUAGAUAUCGUAAGGAAGACCGGUGGCGAAGGCGGAUCUCUGGACAGUUCCUGACGCUGAGGCGCGAAGGCCAGGGGAGCAAACGGG
This 253-nucleotide ribosomal RNA is filed under the name uncultured bacterium. RNAcentral describes it as "partial 16S ribosomal RNA". It matches the Rfam family "Bacterial small subunit ribosomal RNA", at positions 524 to 776 of the family's 1533-position model. The record is from RNAcentral.